This 833-nucleotide ribosomal RNA is filed under the name Sordaria fimicola. Its description in RNAcentral is "eukaryotic LSU rRNA". It matches the Rfam family "Eukaryotic large subunit ribosomal RNA", at positions 72 to 938 of the family's 3401-position model. The record is from RNAcentral. Lineage: Eukaryota; Fungi; Ascomycota; Sordariomycetes; Sordariales; Sordariaceae.
GGAUUGCCCUAGUAACGGCGAGUGAAGCGGCAACAGCUCAAAUUUGAAAUCUGGCUUCGGCCCGAGUUGUAAUUUGUAGAGGAAACUUUUGGUGAGGCACCUUCUGAGUCCCUUGGAACAGGGCGCCAUAGAGGGUGAGAGCCCCGUAUAGUCGGAUGCCGAUCCAAUGUAAAGUUCCUUCGACGAGUCGAGUAGUUUGGGAAUGCUGCUCAAAAUGGGAGGUAAAUUUCUUCUAAAGCUAAAUAUAGGCCAGAGACCGAUAGCGCACAAGUAGAGUGAUCGAAAGAUGAAAAGCACUUUGAAAAGAGGGUUAAAUAGCACGUGAAAUUGUUGAAAGGGAAGCGUUUGUGACCAGACUUGCGCCGUUCCGAUCAUCCGGUGUUCUCACCGGUGCACUCGGGGCGGCUCAGGCCAGCAUCGGUUUUGGUGGGGGGAUAAAGGUUCAGGGAACGUAGCUCCUCCGGGAGUGUUAUAGCCCUGGGCGUAAUGCCCUCGCUGGGACCGAGGUUCGCGCAUCUGCAAGGAUGCUGGCGUAAUGGUCAUCAACGACCCGUCUUGAAACACGGACCAAGGAGUCAAGGUUUUGCGCGAGUGUUUGGGUGUAAAACCCGCACGCGUAAUGAAAGUGAACGUAGGUGAGAGCUUCGGCGCAUCAUCGACCGAUCCUGAUGUAUUCGGAUGGAUUUGAGUAAGAGCGUUAAGCCUUGGACCCGAAAGAUGGUGAACUAUGCUUGGAUAGGGUGAAGCCAGAGGAAACUCUGGUGGAGGCUCGCAGCGGUUCUGACGUGCAAAUCGAUCGUCAAAUCUGAGCAUGGGGGCGAAAGACUAAUCGA